This 483-nucleotide ribosomal RNA is filed under the name uncultured bacterium. RNAcentral's name for it is "partial 16S ribosomal RNA". It matches the Rfam family "Bacterial small subunit ribosomal RNA", at positions 30 to 508 of the family's 1533-position model. The record is from RNAcentral.
AUUGAACGCUGGCGGCAUGCCUUACACAUGCAAGUCGAACGGUAACGGGCCUUCGGGUGCCGACGAGUGGCGCACGGGUGAGUAAUACAUCGGAACGUGCCCGAUCGUGGGGGAUAACGAGGCGAAAGCUUUGCUAAUACCGCAUACGAUCUACGGAUGAAAGCAGGGGACCGCAAGGCCUUGCGCGGACGGAGCGGCCGAUGGCAGAUUAGGUAGUUGGUGGGAUAAAAGCUUACCAAGCCGACGAUCUGUAGCUGGUCUGAGAGGAUGAUCAGCCACACUGGGACUGAGACACGGCCCAGACUCCUACGGGAGGCAGCAGUGGGGAAUUUUGGACAAUGGGCGCAAGCCUGAUCCAGCCAUGCCGCGUGCAGGAUGAAGGCCUUCGGGUUGUAAACUGCUUUUGUACGGAACGAAAAGCCUUCUUUUAAUACAGGAGGGUCAUGACGGUACCGUAAGAAUAAGCACCGGCUAACUACGUGC